ACAACGGCUCUUUUCAGAGCCACCCAACAGUUCUUUUGGAAGAGCUU
Molecule: regulatory RNA element, 47 nt
Organism: Neotoma lepida (desert woodrat)
Lineage: Eukaryota; Metazoa; Chordata; Mammalia; Rodentia; Cricetidae
Rfam family: Histone 3' UTR stem-loop
About the family: The mRNAs of metazoan histone genes lack a poly-A tail. 3' end processing occurs at a site between a highly conserved stem-loop (modelled by this family) and a purine rich region around 20 nts downstream (the histone downstream element, or HDE).
Source: Rfam